Molecule: ribosomal RNA, 238 nt
Filed under: uncultured bacterium
Lineage: Bacteria
Description: partial 16S ribosomal RNA
Rfam family: Bacterial small subunit ribosomal RNA
Source: RNAcentral
GAUCCUGGCUCAGGAUGAACGCUGGCGGCGUGCUUAACACAUGCAAGUCGAACGAAGCACUUAAGACAGAUUCUUCGGAUGAAGUUUUUUGUGACUGAGUGGCGGACGGGUGAGUAACGCGUGGGUAACCUGCCUCAUACAGGGGGAUAACAGUUAGAAAUGACUGCUAAUACCGCAUAAGCGCACAGGGUCGCAUGACCUGGUGUGAAAAACUCCGGUGGUAUGAGAUGGACCCGCG